Molecule: long non-coding RNA, 1701 nt
Filed under: Nicotiana benthamiana
Lineage: Eukaryota; Viridiplantae; Streptophyta; Magnoliopsida; Solanales; Solanaceae
Description: long non-coding RNA (NBEN_LNC037601)
Source: RNAcentral
GGCACUUGAAAGGUUGCACUAACAAAUGGAUGAGUUGAUCGAACCCUCAAAGGUUCAAAGCGCCUUGGAAGUGAAUGAAAGUCAAAAACCUUCCUUGGAGAUUGAAAGUGAGAACCUUUUCUUGGCACUUGACCAAACCAAGAAGAACUCCCAAAUGCUCAAGAUGAGAAAAUAAUGCUCACGUUGGAGACCAUUCUUGAAAAUGAGGAGAAGCAUAACUUUGCACUCGAGGACUUGAAACAAGGCUUGAAUUACAAUGAUGAACACAUUCGCACUUUGGAAGACCAAAUGUGAAAAUUGGUUGAGGCUCACUAUGCCUAACAACUUGAGUGUGUGGAAGAAAGCCAAGAAGAGUCCAAUUUGGAGGAAGAAAGUGAGCUUUAUUUGAGGAGUCAAGAAUUGAACAUCCGCCAACCAACUGAAUGAGUGUUAUUGAUGCCGACAAAAAUAUGGAAUUGGAGUCAACCAGUAAAUUUGCAAUAUUUGUUGAUGUUGACCAUAAUCUGGGGGAAAAAGAGGAUGUCAAGAUAGACAAAUUGCAAAGUUAAGGCUUAAAUCACAUUCCAAGCAUUUUUCAACGUAGGAAUUAUGUGGUGACGCUGAAGUUGAACCUCAUGAAUCAAUGAGGAGUGCGAGGAGGAAAAACCCAAGCCAUACAUUUUACAGUUUGAGGAGACAAGGAAUCAAAAGGACAUCCCUCACUUGAAAACCAAGAAGUGCAAAAUGAAGUUUUUAAGCAUUGGCUCGAACAUCAAAUUACCCCCCCCCCCAUCGCUCGUGGUCACAAGCCUUAUUCCAAGCUAGGUGGCCAAUUCAUAUCAUCCAAGUGGCGAGAAAAGUGGUAAUGUUGUUCCCGUCGUGUCACGACGUUAUAUGCGGUGCUUGGUGGUAGGCAACCCAUCAUUUUUCAAAAUUUUUCAUUAUUUUUGAAAUUUUCUUUUCUAGAAUAGCUUAGAAUAUUAUUUUUGACUAAUAUGCCCAGUUUUAGAAUUUUUUGAGUUGAUUUGAGCAGGUCGGGAUGACCGGGUAGGCAAAAUCCAUUAGCUGUUGGAACUGUGUGGGCAAUCUCUGCUAAAAUCGCGUCUGCGGUAAUUUGACCGCAUCUGCAGUACCGCAGAAGCGUAAAUUACAACGCAAAAGCGAAACAUACCGCAGAAGCGGCCAUUUGGUCACGUACGCAGAACCGCUGAAGCGGCAAAAAAAUCGCUGAAGCAAAAAACUGCCCAGGUUUGAAAGAGAAAAAGAAGUUUAAACGGGUCAUUUGCCCAAAAUCAAAAGCUCUCUGCUCCUACUGCCCUAACUCCCCAAAAACGAACAGGUCUUCAAAAAUUGAACAAGGUUGCUCAUAAUUACAUUUCUCUUGCCCGACUUCAGUUAUUAUCUUCCGUCUUCUCUUCUCAAUCUUCAUAUCUCACUUCUCAUUCUUGAUUUUCAAUAGAAUUUUCUAUUUAUUUAUUUGGUUUCAAAUCUUUAAUUCAUCAUUUUUCAUGUUUUGGAUUCUGGUUUCUAAGCUUAGAAAGUGAGGAUUUGGUUGAGUGUGAGUGUGUGUGCUGUGUAAAUUGAACAAAAUUGGGGAAAGUCUUGAGUACCCCAUUUUUGUGAAAGAAUGUUCAUCUUCACUCGCGCGCAAUGUGCUCGACACAAUGCAUGAGUUAAAAGCUUGUGCGAAAUGGCAUCACUUUGGUCCUCAUUGAAUCUUUU